This 467-nucleotide ribosomal RNA is filed under the name uncultured bacterium. Its description in RNAcentral is "partial 16S ribosomal RNA". It matches the Rfam family "Bacterial small subunit ribosomal RNA", at positions 28 to 506 of the family's 1533-position model. The record is from RNAcentral.
GACGAACGCUGGCGGCGUGCUUAACACAUGCAAGUCGAACGGAAAGGCCCUGCUUUUGUGGGGUGCUCGAGUGGCGAACGGGUGAGUAACACGUGAGUAACCUGCCCUUGACUUUGGGAUAACUUCAGGAAACUGGGGCUAAUACCGGAUAGGAGCUCCUGCUGCAUGGUGGGGGUUGGAAAGUUUCGGCGGUUGGGGAUGGACUCGCGGCUUAUCAGCUUGUUGGUGGGGUAGUGGCUUACCAAGGCUUUGACGGGUAGCCGGCCUGAGAGGGUGACCGGCCCCAUUGGGACUGAGAUACGGCCCAGACUCCUACGGGAGGCAGCAGUGGGGAAUAUUGCACAAUGGGCGGAAGCCUGAUGCAGAAACGCCGCGUGCGGGAUGACGGCCUUCGGGUUGUAAACCGCUUUCGCCUGUGACGAAGCGUGAGUGACGGUAAUGGGUAAAGAAGCACCGGCUAACUACGU